GGAAGAUAUGUUCCUUUUGCCCAGGUUUAGAGAGGCACUGUUUACAGCCAUGCAGAUACAAUUCUACCAUUGGGGGUUUUCUAAUGGAGUCAUUUGGAAUUGACAUGUAACGAAUGUUGGGGUUUAUCUUUUGAGCUCCUGACCCAAACUCCUUUUUCAAGCAAGAUUUCUCUCAAAGCCUCUUUCCUAUCUGAGGUGAAGGGGACUGGGCCUUAAGUAGAAAUUCAAAACAAGGUCAAGGACUUUGUGGUAGGGAUAUUUAAAAAAAAAUCCCCUCUAAGACAAACAUGUGUUAAUAGAAUUAAAAAAUAUCCAACCUAGUUCCCGGGGCUGUCAGGAUCUUGACAUCAUUUGUAUUGUCACUUAAACUAGGACACAGAACCCUUCAUUAUUGGGAGUUUACGGUGAGAUUUUGGGAGAUUUGCAUUGUAUUUCUGUCUUGGAAUUGUCAGUAUGGAAAGAUUUCUUUGUGGGCUGUUCAUCUUGAUACAUACAGGCUUCCCCCCGGGGUCCACUUUUGCAUUUUUUGGAUUCAAGGUCUCUUUCGAGGAAUGAAGCUAAUGCUCUUAUGACUUGGAGACUGAUUUCAGGGAAUGCACGGGAAUGAUCAGGCACUUACUUGCAUCUUAAUGUAGGAAACAGAACUUCCUAAGUAGUCCCCAGAGUUUGUGGCUUUGACCAGGCCACCUGGUCUUUCCUGGUUCCCUUGAUUGCAUUUGCUUAUUACUCCUCUGCCAGGCACACGUGACCUGGGCUGACUCAACGCUUCUGUGGAAAGGAAUGGAUCCAACCAUUUUCAUACAUCAAAACUCAGAUUUGGCAAUUUUGCUUUGGUUAGACUACAGGAUUCUAUUGUUCCCAAAUCUUAAAAACGUAAUGGAUGUCUAAGAGGACUUUUAGCAAAACCCUCAUUCAAAAUGUAAGACCUUCUAUAUAAGGUCUUAAUAAAACUUCUCCUCAUCCUGUAGACAAGGACUGCUGGGUUGGUAUCCUUUCCUCUGAAGUAAUAUUCUGUUGUGGCCGGAAAUGAGCAAUUAGCCUCAUUUGGUCACUACAAACGUUCAUUGGAGUCCACAAGCAAUUUCAAUAAAGCAAGUCAAGGUCCUGCCUUAGGAGAUUGUCUUUAGACUCUGGACUUUAAGACUGAACAGUGAUGUGGAAUUAUGUUUGGGGGCUAGGAGAAAAGAUCCAUGCAAAGAGCAGUGCUUACCGAGGGUCCCCAUGGAAGAGCAAGCUGAUAAAAGAAGCUGGCAGUCAGGUGUAUUCCAUAACUCAUUUUCAGUAUUACCAUGGACAUGAUCUCCUAUGGGAAAGCCUAGCAAAAAGCCAAACGUUAAUUUUUUUUCCUUAAAAAUACUGAAUUCUAAAGAAGAUUCAGAGAGCAGUACUGAUUUGGAUCUCAGAAAAUUUUGUUUCCUUAGUAUUACUGAUUCUACAGAGUUACCAAUUUAAACUGAUGACACCCAGGGGAAAAAAAAAGAUAAAUGAUUAAUGGCAUCACAGCAUUUUGUGAGUAUACAACCCAUUCGUCAGCUACCCACAGGGUAAAGAAAUAUGUACACAAAACUAAGCCCCUUAAUUUUUCAUUCUGGUGGCUGACGUGGACAGAAAGGUGGACACCAAAGUUUAUCUGGUGUGCAAACUUUGUCCACAAGGCAGAGGACUGUGAAUGUUCUGAGGAAAACACUACAGAUCUUCAUCCGAAGGGGAGAAUUUAUAAUCUUAAAACAUAACACUCGAAGCUAGUUUGAAUUUUCAGAAGCAGUGCAUUGUGUGAGGAAAGUAGUUUUAUUUUCUUCUGAACUCAAAUCGUCUGACCUAGUGUGUGUGUUCAUAGUGUGUGUUCAGUACUUGGGGAGAGAGGUGUCGCGAGCACAGAAGUGGUUUCCAGAUUAUGUUCAGUGUUACCCCUUGGAGGUCUCUUGUCCAGAAGGGAAGGAGAAAACUAUGUGAUGAAGGAUGGAGAGUGUGAUGCCCAUCUGAAAACCCCAUCAACCUCUAAUCAGAGUACUUGGCUACCAUUAUCAUUCCCCUUAACUGGAAAUUCUCUGUGGCUAUUAAAAGUUUGGGAACUUGGGUUGAAAUGACUCCUGGAAGACCUGCCAAAGAAUCUGGGAAAUAGUAGCCAACCAUGUCUGUAUGGCCCUGGCUUCUGCUAUAUUCAGGAUGCUAACAGGGCUUGGCGGCAGAAGGGCAAAAAGAGAGGUGGCCAUUUAUUUAAAUUUUUAAGCAUGACUCCUCUGAAAGAAAAUGCACAAAUCAAUACGUGAUGGCCAUGCACACAGACUCUUAAAUUGCUUAGUUUUCUAAAGUGAUUGCAGAUAACCUGGUCUCAGUGGUAAAGAGGAGCGAGACUGGGCUCUUGAUGGGCGGUGGAGUAUCCAAAUUUCUUCAUUUGCAGAGGCAGGAGUUGUAAUUUUUGUUCAUUGACGUGUAGGAAAAAGUACAGUUUUGGCAGAGAGAGGGGUCCUAUGUGAGAGUCAAGCUGACGAUUAUCCUCACUGGGUUUCACAGGUGGAGAACAGUAGGGGGAAGCCAGGGCAGCCUUUGGAAGCUGAAAACGGGUGGGUUAUCUGUUGUGAGCUCUACACAGGGCAAUUCUUAGGCAUUGAUGGAAACAUCAGGUGCUUUCUACACACACACAUACGGUCUGUGGCAGCUUCUGAUCGUGGAACUUGAGCUGCUAAAACCAAAUUUAACAGGGGAGGUUUUCCAGCAGCCAAUUUAGAACUCUAUGUGUCAGAAAGUUACAUUUGGCAACCGUUUGCUGAGUUCUUGGCCAAUCUCUGUGUAAAAAACCACCUGAGGAGGUUCAAUUAAGAAAAUUCAGACAAUUUAUCUGUCAUCAUACCCCUGUGUUUAGUUUCUUUUUCAGUCUCAAAUUUAUUUUCUGAGUGGAGUGAUUUCCUAUAUGAACUGAAAUGAUGAACUGAUGUUUUAGUAAAAUAACAGGUAUUUUUUUUUUUACAGGAAAAAAAGGUCUUCUCUAUGUCAUUAACUUCCAUAAUUGGAACUUAUUUCCUACUGUACAGAAUCAUCACAUUAGGUCAUUUAAAGCUGAGAAAGGUGUUAGGGAUGCAGUUCAAAUUCUUUAUUUAAAUACACAUACAUGUUUCUGUAUAUUUUGUGUAAAUCCUGACAGGAUGCUGGAUGUAACUUCUGUACAGAAUUGAACUUUACAAGAAUUUUAGUAAAAUAGGCGGGCUGCCCCAGAUUCCUUCGUGCUUUUGUUUCAUCUUGGAAAAUGCUGCUUCCGGUUAUUUAAUCUGGUCUUUGUAAGGAAAACACACACACACACACACACACACCCCCCCCCCUUACAUUGUGUGGAUUUUAUAAUAGACCAUUUUUAUUUGUAUAUAUGCUUGUUUUCCUGUGCUGACCCCCACAUUUGUUUGUAAGCCAUGUUUAUUGUGAAGAUAGCUAUUGGGCAAGUGGAAACAUGCCUGGUCUUUACAAUCCCCUGAUGCUAAGAAAAAAGUAAUUCCAUAUGUUAGGAGGCCCUGCAAUCUCUUCCUAAUACCUGAAAUAUUAUGAAAGGAUAUGUGAGAGGUUGUGCACCUCAAUCAUUUGAAACUGAUCUCUAACACUGUCUCUGGAAAGUGUAAAAUAGCAGAAUGACUACCAUUUUAUGGAUUCCUUCAUCGAUGGACUCUCCCAUCUUUCUUGCUAUGUAUAACGUGAUGCUAGCUCUCCUUGGUGGGAAUCAUCUCUUCUUCAUAGAUGGCAAUAUCUUCUCUUUAUGAAUGAAUCAGACUGAACUGUCCAGUAUGGAAUUCAUUAGAAGUUCAUAGAGUAAAGACCUCUGAAGGAUGUGGGGGGCUGGAGGGGAUGUUCCAUGCCUAUGAGGUGAAUGUGAAAUUGAUGCUUUGGCCCUGGGAACUUUUUGCUCAUAAGCUGCAGAGGCAAAGAAGUCGGGGAGUAUGUACUUCAUUCUCUUUUCCUAUAAGGAAAUGUGUGGGGCUGCUCUCUUAAGGCAAAAACAUUUCUCACCAUUGUCUGGCAAAGGGAAAUUAUGAAUAUCAGUUGAUAACUUCAGUCAAGCUCUAGGACUGUACUUAAAAAUACCUGUGUUGUGGGGAAGCAUGCCUUUUGUUGUCUUUGCCGUAUUGGCUUUGGUGGCCACCAUGCAUUUUUAUUUUAGCUUAGUUUUCCUGUUAUCCAGGUUGUGUGCAUUGUUGUUGCUGUUGUUGUUUUCUCUCUCUCUUUUUUUUUAAAUAUUUUUUUGCUGUUGUUGUUUUAUUUUGAACUACUGCUCAUCAUAAGUGGUGAUGUUAUCUCAAAAUCCUGACACCAAGGAAAUAGCUAAUGCGCAGGACUUGGGGUAGAUGAAAGCAUCGGUGUUGAUGUAGGUUACGUUUUGGCAGAGUUAGCAGAAAUAUACUGAACUGAGGGGGAUAAUGUGGCUUUGAAGACACCAUGUUUGUUUUUAACAUUUGGAGAAGCCACCUGUCCUGGGUCCUUAUUCGUGGGAAAUUCAUCCUUUCAUGCAAAUACCAUUGGCAGGGCAUACUUAACAGCCUGGAUGCCUGGAUAACAGCAUCACAUCAGUCAGUAAACAAGGAAUUCUAAUAAUUCCCAAAGGUGGGGGUAAUUUUGCCUCUUAUAGAUCAUUCUGUGGUGAAGUUUCCAAUCACGGCAUCUUGUAAAAACUGUAACGUUAUUAUUUUCCUUCUCUUUUCUGAUCUAAGAGCACAGUAAAGGAAAAGUAAAGUUCUGAUGUGAUACAAAAUAGUUCAUUGACUCUGUGUUUUUGACCAAGUAAAUGGCUGAGAUGUUGAACUAAGUGGUUGUUACAUGGUUCACAUGGUGACCUCAAAAGGAAAAUGAAAUUGGGACAUUAAGUCAAACUUGGACUCCUCUGUUGAUGAGGAGCUUAACUUUGAUUUCCUAUCUCAGGAUAUUCUUCAGUUUCAUACUGCUGCUGAGGAGGAAGGAGCAAGCCGCAGACACUGUAACGGUCUCCGGAUGUUUGUGCGUGUGUAUGCAAAACUUCACACUGUGUGUGUUGUGUUCAAUGUUGUGUCAAUCUAUGAACUGACUCAAACAACAAUUUGAAGAUACAGAAGACAAGAAUAAUGGCAAAAGACACCCAUCCACCUCUUUUUGUCAGAGUGCUUGCUAUGACCUUCAUAGCUAGGACAAAUACCAUAACAUAUUCAGGAGCAAGGUGUCCUUGAAAGAAAUGGUGUGUUGAUCUCAUAAGAAAAUGUACAACCAAUAAAAAGACA
Molecule: long non-coding RNA, 5231 nt
Filed under: Canis lupus familiaris (dog)
Lineage: Eukaryota; Metazoa; Chordata; Mammalia; Carnivora; Canidae
Description: lncRNA (ENSCAFG00000055263.1)
Source: RNAcentral